UUAAUUACCAUUGGCUUGGGGAUAUAUAUAUAUAUAUAUUUUUUUAAGAAGACAUUUUUUUUUCCUGGGGGAAAAACACGCAGUAGCUAUAAUUAGUUGGGAAGAGGAAAGAAGAACAGAGUGUGUGAAUCACCAGCCCCAGCGACAGACAGAGCUGAGCAGAAGUUUCAAGAGAACUGCUGGGGUGUGGGUGAGUUGGAAGGUGUGGCAUAGGGAUGGUGCGCUGUCCUCAGGCUGGCUUGUGUCCUUGAACAUGGGGCACAGGUUGGGUACCUUUAACUGUCACCCUUUUGCUCCACCCCUACUGAGACUGUCACCUGACACCCCAUCAGGGCACAGGUUUCAGUUCUGCUCCCUCAUGCUCUGACCUUCCCCAGGGCUUCUGCCCAGUUCACUCAUGCCAAGGCCAAUGCCAGUCCUUGCUGACAUGUAUCUGGGCAGAGAGGCUCAAAGCUUGGAUGAAGCAUGGAAGGUUUGGGCUGCUAGGGAUUUGAAGAUCUUUUUCUUUCUUUCUUUCUUUCUUUUUUAUGGAUACCAAGGGUUGAACCCACGGGUAUGUUAACACUGAGCUACAUCCCCAGUCCUUUUUAUCUUUUAUUUUGAGAUANUUUUUCUUUCUUUCUUUCUUUCUUUUUUAUGGAUACCAAGGGUUGAACCCAGGGGUACGUUAACACUGAGCUACAUCCCCAGUCCUUUUUAUCUUUUAUUUUGAGAUAGGGUCUAGUUGCUGAACAUCUUGCUGAGUUUCUGGGCUGACUCUGAACUUCUGAUCCUCCUGCUUCAGUCUCCUGAGUUGCUGAGAUUACAGGCAUGCACCACUGUACCCAGCUGAUUUGAAGACCAUCUAACCAAACUCUUCAUUCAUUUGUUCACUUGUUCAGCAAACACUGAGCUAGUAUUGUGUGCCUGGCCCACAGACAAGUGAACUGAAGUCCAGGGAAGUGCCAGGCUUAGUCCAAGUCCACACAGCUUUGAGCAGAGCAACCUUUCUGCCUGUCUAUCAUCAUAGCUCUGCCAAGCCAGACCCUGGGUAGGGAUCUGGGUCACCAAAGUGACCACAGCCAGGCCUCAUUCUCACUGAGCCUGUGUCCUGAAGGAGAGGCAACCAGCCACCUGCAAGACAGGAAAUAGGAGGCAGCUCCUGAAUUAUUCUGGUGGUCACAGAGGACUUCAUGGGGAGGAAGUGAAAGGUGUCCAAAGGCUAGAAGCACAAUGAGAAUGGCCUUCCUGCUGGUAGGGAUAUUAAGUGACUUUGUGUCUGGGUUUAGACAGUAGCAGGAAUUAGAGUCAGGUGGUUGCUGGAGAAUAUGGUUUCUUGAGUCAGGUCAUUACAAUGACCAAUUCCCUGUGUUUCUCCUAAGCAUCCUACAGGGCACAAGCUGCUGGCCAGGAGCACCUUAGGACAGUACUCACACAUGACCCUGGUUCUUGGAGACCUCUGCUUGUUCUUUUCAUGUCUGAGGGCCACUGCCCCAAGGGAGCCCUUUUUUUUUUUUUUUUUUUUUUUUUUUUUUUAAUAUUUAUUUAUUUUUUUAGUUUUCAGUGGACACAACAUCUUUGUUUGUAUGUGGUGCUGAGGAUCGAACCCGGGCCGCACGCAUGCCAGGCGAGCGUGCCACCGCUUGAGCCACAUCCCCAGCCCCCAAGGGAGCCCUUGUCUGAACAGUCAAUGGCUAAGGAAGUUGGGCCCCUGGUUUCUCCCUCCCUCCCUCCCUCUUCCCUGGCUGAGCCCUGGCCAUUCAACUCUUUAGGGGUCCCAGACCCCAGGAGGUACACUGGAGUAGUGUGGCCUAUGAUUGAGAGCAGAGGUCCUGAGUCCCCAGGGAAGGGAUGCUUCGUCUACCGGGAGAAAAUGGUAUUAUUUGGCAUACAGAGUGCUCCUUCCUAACCCCAGACCAAAUUAGCCCUCCAAAUUACAGGCUGCAUUUCCUCCAAAUUGGAGAUUGGGUGGGAGAACCCAAGCUCAGCUCUCCUUCUUGCUUCCUGUUCACAGAGGGCCCUCAGCUGGCACAAUCCCAAGUAAAAGGAUCACGUUAGAAAAGCAUUCUAGGGGCUGGGGAUGUGGCUCAAGCGGUAGCGUGCUUGCCUGGCAUGCGUGCGGCCCAGGUUCAAUCCUCAGCACCACAUACAAACAAAGAUGUGACCGCUGAGAAAUGAGAAAUAAAUAUUAAAAAAAUUCUCUCUCUCUCUCUCUCAAAAAAAAGAAAAAAGAAAAAGAAAAAGGUAAUGGGAGGAGGCUGGGGUGCCGUGGCUCAUGCCCGCAAUCCCAGCGACUCUGGAGGCUGAGACAGGAGGAUCGCAAGUUCAAACCCUCAGGAACUUAGAGAGGCCCUAAGCAACUCAGCAAGACCCUGUCUCAAAAUUUAAAAUAAAAAAGGGUUGGGAAUGUGUGGCUCCAUGGUUAAGCACCACUGGAUUCUAUCCCUGGUAUAAGAAGAAGGAGGAGAAGGAGAAGGAGAAGGACUACUGAGUGGAGGCACUGGUUCAUAGAGAUCUGGGGACCUUAUCAGUCAGCCAUGUUGGGAGCAUUGGAUCUCCUCAGGAAGGAAGGAAGAGGUCUGUGAUCAGGGGAAUGGCAUGAGUGCACUCAGAAGUAGGACUGAACCCAUCACCCCACCUGAGGACUCUUGGUAAGUGGAAAGGAUGUGGAAGGCAGAAGAGGAGGCCCCUGGGAUCUCCCACACUGGCCUCCCUCGGUCUCUUUCCAGAUGUCCUCGAGCCUCUGGAGAAAUACUUAAAUUUCCUUCAAGGAAAGCAUGGGAACAUGCAUCCUGAAAUUAAGGUGACUUCCUAUGGUUUUGCAAAUUGGUUACAGACUUUUAGUGGUUUUGUUUGAAAAGAAAAUUAUUGUAGAUGUCGAGACUAAAUGCAAUUUGUUCAGUGCUGAGUGCAGAGAAAGAAAGGAAAGUAUUGCCCUGAGAUCACCCACUCCUGUGUUAAGGAAGAGGCAGCAGAGUAGGGAGGGGAGGGACCUGCCAGAGGAGCGCACAGCCACAGCCGCAGUGACCAUCUCCAGGGGCAGAUGGCAGAUGGCUUUUAAGCCUCCAAUAGGACAGAGGAUAUUUGGUGGGCAGUUCUCCCAGCAGGAUGGAGGAGAGGCGAUGGGAGUCCCUCCAGUUUCUGGUCUCUGCUUGCACACCUUGCCUGAGAGAGAGAGCUCAUGCUUACCUGGCUGCCUAUGUGAACUAGCCCAGCUGCAGCUCUGGGAAGCCCACCCUGAGUGAGGCAUCAUUUCCCUCAAGCUCCCUGCCACAGUUCUCUGCAUCCUAACCUAUAUGCACUCCCAAUCCCAAGUUUUUGUCUUCACAUUCUCUAUCUGAACUGAGGCUGGGGUCAGGGCAGAGGUCUGGGUUUCUGCAUCCCACAUGGUUCUGAUACCAAUGGGAUCUGUCCUGGGUAGACCGUGCCUAUAAUUCUGUCUAUAAUGGCUGGGGUGGGGAUUAUAGGUCAGAGUGUCCCCACCUGGUGUGAGCUGGAAGGGUACAUGGUCUGCUUCCUGGAUGCCUAGCCUGUUACCCUGCAUGUCUUUCCUGGCCUGACUAAGCUGAGGAUGGACACAAGCCCAUGGGUAGAGGCAGGCCCAGAUAGUCGGCUUCAUGCACAUCAACAGACAAGUGGGGCAUUCCCAUGAGUUCCUUGCUCAGCAUGCAUCUAUUUGGCCCCUGUGAUGCAUACUGGGCCCUCAGAACUGAAUUAGAUGCAGAUACAACCUCUGCCCUCUGUAGCUGGAGGUCUGGACAAGUAUGUGGGAGACAGCAGGGGACAAUAAAAAAACAAAAAAAAACAAACCUGUAUCCUUGACUUACCAAUAAAAUCAGCUCCAGACUUUUGGAAGCAAAAUCCUUCAAAAUCCACCUUAUACCUGGCAGCUAUAGGGGGAUCUGAGGAAUUCACCCCUGGUCUGGUUCCCCAUCGCCAGACCCGGAGGCCCUGAGUGCUGUCUCGUCCCUCCUACCUCCUCCUCCUCCACUCCAACUGCCCUGGAUGCUUUCAGGUUUAAUGGCCUCUCUGACUAUCUGGACUCUGUCCAGGUUUUUCUUUCUGUCUGGAAACAUAUUCUCCCUGUUUCACCUGCAACCUCCUGCUUGCUCUGCUGAGCCAGCCUCCCAAACCUCCUCCCAGAGUAACUUCCCCAGUCCCCUGAUUCCUGCUCCUGUAGCCCCCUCCACUGUUCUUGGAGGACUCAUGGAACAUGUAAUUAGUUCCUUCAGUGUGUGCUUUUUUGACUGACACAUGCCCCUCUGACAAAGGACAAGCUAUGAUUUUCUUGGUCGCUGUUAUAGCCCAUCGCCCAACUCCCAGGAUGAGCCCAGACCAUGUGCUUAAUCAAUAUAUAUAUCAAGUGUUGACUAAAUGAAUGUAAAAACUAGUGUUCCUAUUUAUAGAAAUUUAAGUUCAUGCUGAUAACAGCGACAGUGCAUGUAUAUACCCACAUGCUGAGGAUGUUGCAAAGAUGUUUAUGCAUAAGCCCAAAAUGUAGCCAUCCCAGAGCCAGCCCCAAUGUCCCUGGUAGCCGUAAAGUGAUCAGCAACAGUAGUGACACUGGUCAUGUGUUGGAUGUUGCCUCAGCACCAAAUGAGUGAGGAUUUUUUUUUUCCAGUGAAAUAGCAUAUAUUUUUUUUAAUAUUUAUUUUUUUAGUUGUAGUUGGACACAAUAUAUUUAUUUUUUUUUAAGAGAGAGAGAAUUUUUUAAUAUUUAUUUUUUAGUUUUCGGCGGACACAACAUCUUUGUUUGUAUGUGGUGCUGAGGAUCGAACCCGGGUCGCACGCAUGCCAGGCGAGCGCGCUACCGCUUGAGCCACAUCCCCAGCCCCACAAUAUCUUUAUUUUAUUUAUUUAUUUUAUAUGGUGCUGAGGAUCAAACCCAGGUUCUCGCAGGUGUUAGGAGAGCGCUCUACCGCUGAGCCACAAUCCCAGCCUGAAAUAACAUAUUUAAGUGCAAGAAUUCAAAUAUCCAACUAGGUAGAGCAAAGAUUCAUUCAUCAACAUAGAUUUCUUCAUCUAGGAGUUGACUGAACACCAAGGUCAUGAACAGAUAGACAGACAAACCCUGCCUUUGCACAAAUUGGCAUCAUGCUGAGGCCAGGAAGAGAAGUAGACUCCAGGGGGCUGACCUUUGACCUUUGACCAAAGGGAAGAGUAGACACUUGUUCCAGUGGGCUAUUCACUCUCUGAACACUGCUGCUGUCUGCAGAGAGGUACAAACUGACUCCAUCUUACAGACCCAGGCUAGCCUGGGACCCUGAAAGCACCUGUUCCUUUGCUGGAGGACAAUACCAGUGGCCCAGGCUCUCCGGGACCAGCAUUCAAGGAGCCAUUAGGGCUCAUAUGGACCAAGAGGCCCACAGACAGGCUCAUGCAUUCCUCUUCUACAAAUGCCCACUCCACAGCCUGGAAAUCUAGCCUCCAACCAUGGCUGCUAAGAGUCUUGUAUUGGUCACGGAUCAAAGCAGCCCUUCCCUGUUUCCAGGUCAUGACUGCUUGUGUGCUGAUGACCAGAGACUCUGUGAUGUGUGUGUUGGUGCAGGAGGAUGCAGGGUAUGGGUUGCUCUGGGAGGAAACAAUAAGUGCUCUUUGAGAACCAGAUCUUGCCUCUCCUCAAGUUCCCAAGGUUAGACCUUGUCUCUCCCUUCAGAUCGGGGUCUCACCAGGGUCAAAGGCCUAGAAUCUUCAGUUUGUGCUGACGUGCAUAGGCCCGGGUCUUCACCCAGCUGUUCCCAGCCCAGGCAGGGAGGGCUCUGAAGGACACAGACAGCUCUCCCUCCCUCUGUCAGGACACUAGGCCAUUUAUCAGGGAGAUAAACAGUAGCCAGAGGGCAGAGUUGGCGGAAGGAAUUGUCUGGAGGAGAUAACCUGGGGUCAUUCAAAGGGCACAGAAGGAAUCGUGUCUCCUCUCUGGGGCUAUCCAAACCCCCACACAGGUACCCGCCCCCACACUUACUGGCAAUUGACACUUAAGGCUCCCGUGAACAGCUUGCUCCAGCCACAGCUAGUGGGUAUGUUUCCUCUUGGUAUUCUGUACCAUGGCAGGGCCCCAUGAUUUUGUCUCACCUAUUACAGAUGGGAAAACGGGCUUUGGAGCUGCACUUACCAGAGAGAACAAGGACAGGGCUCUGAACCUGCUCUGGGCCCUCCUGAGCAGGGUGGGAUAGAGGGACCUUUCUGGUGCUGCAUCACUGGGUACUUAGUGUACGCGUCCCCAUGUGUCUGGCCUCUGUGCUGUUCCCACCACCCUGUAUCCUUUUCUAGACAGAGACAAUUCCCAGAGAGGUGAGGUCACCAGCCCAAGGUCACAUCUCUAGGAAGACAGGUUUAAAGGCAGGCCUCUGGGACUGUAUCCAGAGACCAAGAUGAUCAUUGAGCAGCAAUCUCUUCCAGUGUGGCCUCAGUGGGGCCUCACCCGAAAGAGGCUGGAAAAAAACACUGUGAAGCAAACAGCUCUGGGAUCCUUAUGGCCAGCUAAAAGCUGUCACCCCCAAAUUGUUAGAAUGGCCCUGAGUUGUUCUGUACAUGCUCUCUCCCUACCUUGGCCCUCAGUAGAGCUCCAUAAAUACUUCUGAACAAAUUAUUAACUCAAAGCCAGAUACUGUGGUGCACGCCUGUAAUCCCAGCUACUCAGGAGACUGAGGCAGGAGGAUUGCAAGUUUGAGGCCUCUGUCAGCAACUCAGCAAGACCUGUCUCAAAAAUAAAAAUGAAAAGGACUGGGGGUAUAGCUUAAUGGUAGAGUGUUUGCCUAGCAUAUGCUAGGCCCUAGGUUUGAUCUCAAGUGCACAUGUGCAUACAACCCCCCCCCCCAAAAAAAAAACCCUCAAUAAUGAAAAAUGACAAAUUUUUCUGUAUAAUCCCAUAUUCAGGGAUUCACAUAUUGGUCUUGCUCCUCUCUGCCUAGGACACACCUAUCUAUCAUUUGCUGGAUCUUCAUGAAUGCCCCAUCAAAAAAAAAAACAACACCGUGGCUUUUUCAGAAUCAGAAGCAAAGUCCAGGCCUUGGAUGGCAGAAAUGGAGAGGAGAUGGAGAAGGAUGAGGAGACCCUUCACCUGGGCUCAUCAUCACUCAGUGCUGGAGACUUCUGCAGCCCUCACUAUUGGGGUUCCUAAGGGCUGGUAUAUUCUGGGUGUUGAAGGACCCAGGCCAAGGGACGGCGCAGGGCCAGGCUUGGGGAUUCACCAUGUCUUUCCUCUCUGCUCCAAUGUCCAGGGCAGUGGAUUUGAGCCAGAAUGAGUCAGGGACUUUUCUGGGAAGUAUUUCCCACACUGGGAGCCCUGGAAAUCAUCUGCAGGUAGUGGGAGUCUUGGGUGGGACUUUGAGGACCUCAGACAUUUCUGCCCAUAACUGCCUUCCAGAAGAUUCUGGGUCCUCUUUAGCCUGGACCAUGUUAAGGUGGCCAGGGGCCUCCACCUUUAUACACGAUCAUCUCAUUGGUUACUGAGGGUGUAAAAGUGUUUUGUUGUUGUUGUUGUUGUUGUUGCAUGACUCUGGUGGAGUCAUCUCAUGUUAACCUAUAGGGAGCUGCAAGCCUCCAAUCCUCAGGACACAAGCACCUGACUGCCCCCCCACCCCCGAACUACAGACCAGGUCCAGGCACCCUUCUCAGAAAAGUCCCACCCUAAGGAAGUAGCCCUAUCGGUUGUGUCGUUGAGUGAAGGCAUUGCUGGCAGCAGGACCCCAAAUCGAUUGGGUCCAGCACCUGGGGACAGAUGAGGCAUAUGAGGAUAAUAUCUUCAACAAAAGAAACCUGGAGAAUAACACCACACCAGCUUCCAGAUAAUGCCUCAUUUAAUUAUUUCCCAGGAUCACAUAAGGUUUGCACAAUUAUUAAUUUCCAUUUUACAGAUGAAGAGCUGAGGCUCCAAAGGGUUAAAUCCCCUUGCCCAGCAUUACAGAGCAUCAACAGGCUCAACACCUAGUGCACAUGCUAGUGGCCAAGACUCCGAAGUGUGUCUCACUGCUCACAAGCACACUCCUGGCAAGGGGAUCUGUUCCAGCCUGGCUUGGGCUGAACUUGAACAGGAUGGAACAAAGGAACCUUGGUGUCCCUGUUCCCCUGUGGCAACCCUGGGCCUGGUUGCACUAUGGGAGAAUGGAGGCUUCCAGGGCAGUGGUAAUACCCAGGGUGAAUGUGGCACCAGAGGACAGAGAGGGUACAAGUGAGGCGGGAGGGGCGAAACAGACAGCCGAGACAAGCAGGGGCAGGACUGUACCCUCUCAGGCAAGGCAUUUUGGGGGACAGGUCAUGGCCUUGGUGCUUCCCUAUCUCCACCCUUAGCCCUUUACCUGCCUGACUGUUCCUGGCUCAGGAGACUGAAGUGAGUGAAGCCAGGUAGCUUCUGGCAGACUCUCCUUGGCCGAGGGCCAGUUGGGGCACUGUGCCAGGCUCGGCUUCUCCAUCUGUUAAAUGGGGCAAGUGAUGGCAGAGUGUGGGAGAACUGCAGGCCUGGGAAUGCCCACCAGGAAGUAACCAGCAACUGCAGGCUCCUUACAGCCAGGUCCUUCUCAUCUUUGCGGCCUGCCUAGGUCCCCGUUCACUUUAAUGCCACCACUUUCCUCACCUGACAGCUGUGGAAUCUGACUGGCCUCAGUUAGACUGCUCCUCCCCGCCUCUCAGCAAUCUGUGCUCUGAGUGGAGCGCUGCCAGAAACAGGCCCAGGAUAGGGGCCACCGGAACCCUGUGCUGACCAGAGGAGGCUCCAUUUGUCUAACCUCUGUGACCCCCAGCCCACCAGGCUCAGCGCGGUUCUGCAUGUCUCUCUCAGCUGGGUGAGGUUCAGGGCAGUCUCCUCAGAGUCUGCUGAGAACUGGCCAUGAAAGGUCCGCUGAGAUCUCCCCACCCUCUGCACCAUGGCAGCCACUGAAGUUGGGGACCCAAUCCUCCAAGAGUGUCCCCUCCUCAUCCCUGUCAAGGCUUUGCUGCCCUCCUGCUUCCCUUCCCUCAGUGCAACUACCAGACCCUGCUCCCACCAGUCCCUUCCCCCUCCUCAGCAGGUGGAGGCUCCAUUCUCAUGCCCCACAUUCCACCACCUGGUGCCCAGGAAGCUUCUCAGGUGCCUGAGACCAGGGCUGGUAGGUCUCCAGGCUGAGACUGGCCAAGAGACCGAGAAGCAUGCCACUCUGUGAGGAGAGCAGAAGGACUGGGGACAGGAGAUCACUGAGGGCAAUCACUUGAUUCUCUGAGUCAAACUGGGGCACUUGCCUGGCAGGCUGUGGGGAGAGAAGAUGAAGCUGGCCCUUGGCAUGGAGUCUCCGGGCUGGAGUUGGCACUUGUUCUACAGGAGGAAGCCACCAGGGUUAAUCACCAAGACCGCCCAAGAGGCGGACCA
This 9319-nucleotide long non-coding RNA is filed under the name Marmota monax (woodchuck). The record is from RNAcentral. Lineage: Eukaryota; Metazoa; Chordata; Mammalia; Rodentia; Sciuridae.